UUAUGAUGCCCUCACUUUUUCUUGCUUUCACCAUUAGAAACCAGCGUUGACUAAAAAUGUAUGCUCCUCCAGGAUAUCAAGAAAUGUCAUACUUUGAUCAUAUUCAAAGACGCAGGGAGGAAAAGGGCCAUCUUUAUGCUUGCCUGUUUGCUCUUUGUUGCUGUUUCCUUUGCUACGAGACUUGUGAGUGCUGCUUGGAUAUCUGCUGCUGCUCCUGCGCUUAGUGCAUGUUUGGUCGGGAUUAUGAAUUAAACGAAUUUGAAUCUUAUUUAUUGUAUUGUCUACACUUGUGUGUCUUAUGAUGUGUACUAAACGUAUUGAUGAAUGAUAAUAUACUGUUGAAUGAUUGAGUAAAUUAGUGAAUAAGUUUUAUGCAGUGAUGC
Olea europaea var. sylvestris is the source of this 383-nucleotide long non-coding RNA. RefSeq lists it as uncharacterized. NCBI's taxonomy places the organism in Eukaryota, Viridiplantae, Streptophyta, Magnoliopsida, Lamiales, Oleaceae. The record is from RefSeq and is a predicted model, not a curated record. The transcript is spliced from 2 exons.